AUUGAACGCUGGCGGCAUGCCUUACACAUGCAAGUCGAACGGCAGCACGGGUGCUUGCACCUGGUGGCGGGUGGCGAACGGGUGAGUAAUACAUCGGAACGUACCUUAUCGUGGGGGAUAACGCAGCGAAAGCUGUGCUAAUACCGCAUACGCCCUGAGGGGGAAAGCGGGGGAUCGCAAGACCUCGCGCGAUUAGAGCGGCCGAUGCCUGAUUAGCUAGUUGGUGGGGUAAAAGCCCACCAAGGCGACGAUUAGUAGCUGGUCUGAGAGGACGAUCAGCCACACUGGGACUGAGACACGGCCCAGACUCCUACGGGAGGCAGCAGUGGGGAAUUUUGGACAAUGGGGGCAACCCUGAUCCAGCAAUGCCGCGUGAGUGAAGAAGGCCUUCGGGUUGUAAAGCUCUUUUGUCAGGGAAGAAACACCGGCUCUAACACAGUCCGGGAAUGACGGUACCUGAAGAAUAAGCACCGGCUAACUACGUGCCAGCCGCCGCAGUAA
Molecule: ribosomal RNA, 501 nt
Filed under: uncultured bacterium
Lineage: Bacteria
Description: partial 16S ribosomal RNA
Rfam family: Bacterial small subunit ribosomal RNA
Source: RNAcentral